This 1959-nucleotide long non-coding RNA is filed under the name Olea europaea subsp. europaea. Lineage: Eukaryota; Viridiplantae; Streptophyta; Magnoliopsida; Lamiales; Oleaceae. The record is from RNAcentral.
CUUAGCAGUGAAUGAUAUUGAUAGAGAGUUUAACAGAAAUUUUUAAACAAUGAAUCUUGUCUGAGGUAAUCACUGAAAUAAUUUCAAGUACGUGACAAACAAAAAAUAAUGACAUAAACACCGAAUAUUGUUGGGAAUCUACUUAACAUGCACAGCGAAAAUUAAAAUAAUUUUCGAUUCCCAUCAGGAUUCAUCUUUGUGUUUAGAUGAAAAUUGUGAUAAAAGUCAUAUAUUUUUCUAGAUCUGCAAAUCCCUUUGCUUUUCUUUGUUCCAAUGAUCUUGAUUCGCCACCCACAGCUGUCCAAUUGUCCAGCCUCCAACAGUGAUCCACACAGAGAACAAGAUUGUAGUAUUAGGAUUUUUCUUGUGCUAGCAAGAAUAAUGAAAAAUCACUACAAAUUUGAAAACCCUAAUCAUAUUUAUAUAAACUCGAACGGGCUUGAUCUUACCCGAUCCAACAUUUAAUUAACCCAUUUAAUUAAAUUUGAUCUGUGAAUUAAUUAAUCCAAUUAAUCAAGGCUUAUAAAUAAGUAAGUUAAUUAAUUUAUUUAUUCAACAUUUGUUAAAUUAAUUAAUUGACAAAUCACAAUCUUCCAGUUCUCGUUUUGUAUGCGAUCCAUCAGGUUACGAUCACAAUGCCUAACAACGUGAAAUAUUAUUAUGAUCUAAUUAAAAUUGAUAAAUUAAAACACCCUUUUAAUUUAUCACCAAUCACACUCGCCGUCCCAAAUUGACAUCUAGCAAUGUGUCAGGGCAAUACAUGUGACGAGAAAUGUCACGUGGUAUAACAAAACCAAACUCGUUCAUUUACUAUGAAACUAUAAUCCCUUCGUCAAUAUGAUCCGAUCAAUUACGAGAUAUGGAAGUACGGCAAUCUCAAUUAUCGAUCAUAUCUUUCACUCCACUAUUAAGUUAAUAUAAGUCGAAAACUCCUUUUUCGAUUUAUGAGUACACCUUGGCCAAGGAUUUCGUUAUUGAUUUAAUUGAAUGAAACGCAGAUCAUAAUAUUUUACUAUCUAAGAGUGACAAAUCCUUUAUUGGUCAUUCACAACAUUUAUAUGAUUCUUAACAUACUCGAACAAUGCCGUAUUAGCGGCUCUUAGCAGAGCAACAUCCAACACCGUCAAAAUAUGACCAUCCUCAUAUAAGGUACUAUGACGACCUCAAGUCAAAAUGACCAAUCCCACUACCGAACGUUAGAGAUUAACCACUGACACUCAGAUAGUUAUCCAUGUAGAAUCUCUCGAUGGAUCUCCAAUGUUUUGUUCUAUAACAAAACAUCCACGUGCUCAUUUAAGUGUCACCACACUUUAGCUUGUGAGAUCAGGUACUUACUUCACAAGUAAGAAAUGCUACACGUAAUGGUCUAUCCGUAAUAACGAUAUCCGUACCUUGUUAUUACUUACGACCACGGACGAUUUAAGAUUUAAUCAUAUGUAAUUUGCAUCUCACAAUCACAACUCCUUGUGAUUAACAAAUUACGAAAAUUUGAAUCUACGGACUCUAUUAUUUAAUUUAAUUAUUUAUUAAUUAAAUAAUAGAUCUGCCAUUAAAUUGCAUUAAUUAUAUAUCAAAAGUAUUUAUGUCCAAAGUUGAUUGGACCUAGGGCAUAACACUUACAAACUCUCACUUGCACUAGAUCCAAUCACUUAUGUAUCAAAUAUCAUAAGAGUCUACAUGACGAUCAUGUUUAUACUACGACAACUCUUUGUCAAUGGAUCUGCAAUAUUGUUAAAUUUGGGAAUUAGUUCUUCUCUUUACGUCAUUUCUAUGUAUUAUCUCUCUUAUGAGAUUAUAUCGCCUUAAUACAUGUUUGGAUCAUUGAUGAGACCUUAGUUCCUUCGCUUUCGUGAUGGCUCAAUUGUUAUCACAAUACAAUGGCAUGUGAUCAACAAUAUCAGGACCUACUCCAAGUUUAUUUAUGAAUAUCAUGAUCCACAUUGCAACUCUUUACUACUU